Molecule: small RNA, 252 nt
Filed under: Mycoplasmoides pneumoniae M129
Lineage: Bacteria; Bacillati; Mycoplasmatota; Mycoplasmoidales; Mycoplasmoidaceae
Description: Mycoplasma pneumoniae M129 ncRNA
Source: RNAcentral
AAUAAUCUUGUUUUCCUUACCCUUAACGAGGUUAGUAAAGUUAUUACCAAAAUCCGUAAAGUUACCCCAGACACCAAUGUUGGAGUUAAGUACUAGCGCUUUACUUACCAAAGAAGGGUUGAGUUCCUUGGAGAAGACCCCGUUAAAGGGAACAUAACCAGUUGGCUUGACGUACUCAAUCUUGUACUUGUCUUUGGUGGUAGAAGAGGUACUUCCACCCCCACAAGAGCCACCGCCAGACGAAGUACCACC